ACCGAAAACCGACACAGGUGGGCGAGGCGAGAAGCCUAAGGUGAACGAGUGAAUCCUCGUUAAGGAACUCGGCAAAACAACGUGUCGUAAGUUCGCAAUAUGACCUGCCGGCUGGAGGCCGGCAUACACUAAGAAAACUAAUAUUCACUAAUUAAACUAAAUAUUUUUUGUUUGCUCUUUAGUAAAUAUUUGUUUAUUUCGUGUUUUUAUUAGUUAAUUUAGUGUAUGCCAGCUGAAAGCUGGCCGCAGCUAAAGACCCCAGGCGACUGUUUAUCAAAAACACAGGUCCCUGCAAACUCGUAAGAGGAAGUAUAGGGGCUGACGCUUGACCAGUGCUGGAACGUAAAACAUGCCAGUUCAGCCGCACUUCAUUGCAUUUGUGCGAAUUAUGAAUUAUGAAUUUCGAAUUUUGAAUGAAUUUUUAAUGAUUUAAUUUAGAAAUUAAGUCAUUGAUUCAAAAUUCAAAAUUAGAAUUUAAAAAUUCCGCACGAGCGUAGCGAUGUGCGGUUGAGCCGAGCGUGCUAAGCGCCAGUGAACGUCCGCGGUAACUAUAACCGUGUUAAAGUAGCGAAAUUCCUUGUCAGGUAAGUUCUGACGCGCAUGAAAAGCGUAACGACUUGGGGACUGUCUCAACGAGGAGCUCGGUGAAAAUGCAAUUCCGGUAAAGAUGCCGGGUACCUGCAGCUAGACGAAAAGACCCCGGAAGCUUUACUGCAGCUUGGUAUUGUGUCUUUCGUUUGAAUGCGUAGCGUAGUGGGGAGGAUUUGAAGUUCUGGUUUCGGCCAGGACGGAUCCGCCAAUGAAACACCCACCUUUUAGACGAUUUUCACUAACCUUUGCCACUAAAGAAUGACAUAAUUUUUAAAUUGUGUUUUUCUUCGGUGGCAAGAGGACAGUGCCUGGUGGGCAGUUUAAGUGGGGCGCUUGCCUCCAAAAGAGUAACGGAGGCGUUUAUCAAGGUUGGCUUGGGCCGGAUGGAAAUCGGCCUGGACGCGUAAAGGCAUAUGCCAGCUUUACUGCAAGACUGACAGGUCGCGCAGUCGCGAAAGCGGAACUUAGUGAACCGACCGCAAUGUCCUGUCUAUGACAGGAUACACUAAUAAAACUAAUAUUUACGAAUUUAUAUUGGUUUUACUUCGUGUUUCCCGCCAUAGGCGGGACGCUUCGUAGGAAGGCGGAAGAUCAU
This 1186-nucleotide ribosomal RNA is filed under the name bacterium. RNAcentral's name for it is "partial 23S ribosomal RNA". It matches the Rfam family "Bacterial large subunit ribosomal RNA", at positions 1646 to 2452 of the family's 2925-position model. The record is from RNAcentral.